RNAcentral lists this ribosomal RNA (465 nucleotides) under uncultured bacterium. RNAcentral's name for it is "partial 16S ribosomal RNA". It matches the Rfam family "Bacterial small subunit ribosomal RNA", at positions 28 to 507 of the family's 1533-position model. The record is from RNAcentral.
GACGAACGCUGGCGGCGUGCUUAACACAUGCAAGUCGAACGGAAAGGCCCCUUUGGGGGUACUCGAGUGGCGAACGGGUGAGUAACACGUGAGUAACCUGCCCUUGACUUCGGGAUAACUUCAGGAAACUGGGGCUAAUACCGGAUAGGAAUCCUUGCUGCAUGGUGGGGGUUGGAAAGCUUCGGCGGUUUUGGAUGGACUCGCGGCUUAUCAGCUUGUUGGUGGGGUAGUGGCUUACCAAGGCUUUGACGGGUAGCCGGCCUGAGAGGGCGACCGGCCACAUUGGGACUGAGAUACGGCCCAGACUCCUACGGGAGGCAGCAGUGAGGAAUAUUGCACAAUGGGCGGAAGCCUGAUGCAGCAACGCCGCGUGCGGGAUGACGGCCUUCGGGUUGUAAACCGCUUUCAGCAGGGGCGAAGCUUGUGGUGACGGUACCUGCAGAAGAAGCACCGGCUAACUACGUG